RNAcentral lists this ribosomal RNA (440 nucleotides) under uncultured bacterium. Its description in RNAcentral is "partial 16S ribosomal RNA". It matches the Rfam family "Bacterial small subunit ribosomal RNA", at positions 338 to 795 of the family's 1533-position model. The record is from RNAcentral.
CCUACGGGAGGCAGCAGUAGGGAAUAUUGCUCAAUGGGGGAAACCCUGAAGCAGCAACGCCGCGUGGAGGAUGAAGGUUUUCGGAUUGUAAACUCCUUUUGUUAGAGAAGAGAAUGACGGUAUCUAACGAAUAAGCACCGGCUAACUCCGGCCCAGCAGCCACGGUAAUACGGGGGGUGCAAGCGUUACUCGGAAUCACUGGGCGGAAAGAGCGGGUAGGCGGGAUAGCAAGUCAGAUGUGAAAUCCUAUGGCUUAACCAUAGAACUGCAUUUGAAACUGUUAUUCUAGAGUAUGGGAGAGGUAGGUGGAAUUCUUGGUGUAGGGGUAAAAUCCGUAGAGAUCAAGAGGAAUACUCAUUGCGAAGGCGACCUGCUAGAACAUAACUGACGCUGAUGCGCGAAAGCGUGGGGAGCAAACAGGAUUAGAUACCCGAGUAGUC